UAGGGAAUCUUCCGCAAUGGGCGAAAGCCUGACGGAGCAACGCCGCGUGAGUGAUGAAGGUCUUCGGAUCGUAAAACUCUGUUAUUAGGGAAGAACAAAUGUGUAAGUAACUAUGCACGUCUUGACGGUACCUAAUCAGAAAGCCACGGCUAACUACGUGCCAGCAGCCGCGGUAAUACGUAGGUGGCAAGCGUUCUCCGGAAUUAUUGGGCGUAAAGCGCACGUAGGCGGACUAUUAAGUCAGGGGUGAAAUCCCGGGGCUCAACCCCGGAACUGCCGUUGAUACUGGGAGUCUUGAGUUCGAGAGAGGUGAGUGGAAGUCCGAGUGUAGAGGUGAAAUUCGUAGAUAUUCGGAGGAACACCAGUGGCGAUGGCGGCUCACUGGCUCGGUACUGACGCUGAGGUGCGAAAGCGUGGGGAGCAAACAGG
Molecule: ribosomal RNA, 429 nt
Filed under: Actinomycetes bacterium
Lineage: Bacteria; Bacillati; Actinomycetota; Actinomycetes
Description: Actinobacteria bacterium partial 16S ribosomal RNA
Rfam family: Bacterial small subunit ribosomal RNA
Source: RNAcentral